UCAGCGGUUUAAACCGCG
Molecule: unclassified non-coding RNA, 18 nt
Filed under: Chlamydomonas reinhardtii
Lineage: Eukaryota; Viridiplantae; Chlorophyta; Chlorophyceae; Chlamydomonadales; Chlamydomonadaceae
Description: small RNA Cre_2493
Source: RNAcentral